RNAcentral lists this long non-coding RNA (399 nucleotides) under Coturnix japonica (Japanese quail). Its description in RNAcentral is "lncRNA (ENSCJPG00005018394.1)". The record is from RNAcentral. Lineage: Eukaryota; Metazoa; Chordata; Aves; Galliformes; Phasianidae.
AACUAAACAACUGCUUUUUUACCACAAACUGUGACUCCUGGGAAUACUUGCCUAAAGUUAACAAAAAAAAUACGACAUUUAAUGAACUUAGGUGCUUAAUCAUGUAAACAACUUAAGCACAAAUUUGAAUACAGCUGGGAUGAUUGCUUAAUUCACUUCGUACAGAGCCUCAAAUUUAUCAGUGGUUUUAAAGACAAUGCAAAUAGAAACAUCCUCCAUAGAAAAGCUGAGAAAUACAAGUAUGUUCCUAAGUUUUUACUUUUAUUAACUAGAAAGUUAAAUUAAGGAUAUUGUAUCUGACCAUAUCACAUGGUGACCAGACAAUUCUGAUUGCUGACAUUCUCUUUCUGCCUCAGACUACUUUUUCUUAUUUACCUGUAUCUGCUGUUUGAUCAGUCC